CUGCUGAUACCAAUUUUGCAAGACUGGGUGCAUGUGUGCAGACAACCAGAUUUCAUCUCUACUGCUUCCUGGCUGACAGCAACCCUGCUGAUCCCAGGAGUACUCCUCAACAAAUCUGCAACAUGGUAAUCUCCAACUCCGUAUCUGCUUCCAGAGAACCCAAUCUGUAGCAGUUGAUGGAAGGAAUGGCCCAAGAAAUUAGCCAUAGGGAUGGAAUUUUGGAGCUGCAUCAUUUGCCACCCAACUAACUGUGAGGACUGCCAUCCUUGGUGUCGGAGGUGCAGCAUGAAGCAGUUGGGCUCUGACAAAGAGCCUUUUGGAAGCAAAGAUAAAUAGACAAUGGACAAUGAAUACCUUC
Non-coding RNA from Kogia breviceps (pygmy sperm whale), 358 nucleotides. The record is from RefSeq and is a predicted model, not a curated record. NCBI's taxonomy places the organism in Eukaryota, Metazoa, Chordata, Mammalia, Artiodactyla, Physeteridae.